UAACUCAUCGCCAAACACCCUGAACAGCAGGUGUUAAAAUUCGCAUCCAAUCAAAAUGCUGAUGGUAAUUGUUUUUGUCGCUCAGCAAUUGUUGAUGGACGAGUUUGAUCUGAUUUUCGAGGACUCUGAUGAUCGACCGGUUACUGCACAGAACGUGACUGAGUUCAAAUAUUUGUAGUGUUGCAUCAAGGAAACCAUGAGGUUGUAUCCGCAACUACCGCUCAUAUCCCGACGUUUAACGGAAGAUGUUCAAACAGGUUUUAGUUUAAUUAGCUAGUCGGUCCGGUUUCUCUGAAUACCCGAAUGUUAACUUUAGGAGACUUUACCAUACCAAAGGGCUUAACAGUCUUGUUCAAUAAUUUACCGCAAUCCCGAUGUUUACUCCGAGCCGGAAUCUUUCAAACCGGAACGUUUCCUUCCCGAAAACACGCUUGUUCACAUCUGUAUCGGGCACAAGUACGCCAUGUUGAAACUCAAAGUUAUUUUGGUUAAUUUGCUGCGUCGGCUCCGGUUUUGCGUCAACGAUCCAUCGGCUCCUCUAGAAAUUCCGGACAAGGAGCUCACUUCCAAAUCCAAAAGCGGCCAAUGUAACCUCAUCGCUUCAAAAUGAAUCGCUUCAUAAUUAAUAAUGCUCUUUAACAGUCUAACGCGCCAGGCCGCUACAAAAUACAUUU
Daphnia pulicaria is the source of this 674-nucleotide long non-coding RNA. RefSeq lists it as uncharacterized. Lineage: Eukaryota; Metazoa; Arthropoda; Branchiopoda; Diplostraca; Daphniidae. The transcript has 2 exons. The record is from RefSeq and is a predicted model, not a curated record.